UUCCACCGACAGUGCAGUGUUUACCUGGGACUUGGCAACUCAUAAAUCACGGCAGUGUCCAUGCUUGGUUUCUUUGCUGCUUUUGUUUGUUUGUUUGUUGUUUUCACAGCCAGAAGCACUAAAUGAAUCAAUCAUGGUUCAGGAUCUGCAAGUCUCAGGUUCUUCUAGGGACCGUGUCUUCCCCCCAGACACAUGUGGCAGUGUCUGCAAUCCUCUGAGUUUGUGGAGGCGGAGAGAGCCAAGGAGGCUAUAGCAUGUGUUCCACACAGAAAGUGCCCCAGCAUAGAGGGCAAAGCCUGGGAUGCUCUGCUGUGCCAGCCGACCUGAACCUCAGUGUAGACUCUAGUUCAGCCACCCAUCCUGAGGCUGAACCUGGAGGUGUCCUGGAGGUAAUGCCGGGAAAGCAUCUGCUUGAGCAGCAGGCAAAACCACACCUGUCAAUCCUGCAAGCGCUUCAGGCGUCCAACUUCGCUUCUCAGAAGGUGUGUGCUGACGGCUUCUCGUGUUUGCCUUCGAAAUCCUCUCUUAGAAUUGCUCCGGGCCAGGCUUGGUUUUCACAGUGAAAGAGAUGACAUGGCUGUGAAACCUCUUCCCCGGAAACCAUACCAGCAGCCUCUUGAACCUCAGGAAGCUCAACUCCAGGCUGAAUUCCGUUAUCACCACAGCCUGGGGCAUGGUGGGAAGCUGCUGGACUAAAUCAGAGAAUGGGAUUCCAGUGAAGAGCCACCUGAGUGCUGCGCCACUCCUGCUGGGCAGAAACCUGUAAGAAUUUAGGAAUGCCAUUCCUCCAAUGAGCCCCCAGGAGCACCUGAACCACACUGCAGGGAGCCAGAAGAAGACGUGUGCUGUGGGAUGGUCUGUAUAUCAAAUCUGUUGCUCUGAUUGGUCAAUAAAUAAAACACUGAUUGGCCAGUGGCCAGGCAGGAGGAAGUAUAGGCGGGACAAGGAGGAGAAGAA
Non-coding RNA from Peromyscus maniculatus bairdii (prairie deer mouse), 957 nucleotides. The record is from RefSeq and is a predicted model, not a curated record. NCBI's taxonomy places the organism in Eukaryota, Metazoa, Chordata, Mammalia, Rodentia, Cricetidae.